RNAcentral lists this ribosomal RNA (406 nucleotides) under uncultured bacterium. RNAcentral describes it as "partial 16S ribosomal RNA". It matches the Rfam family "Bacterial small subunit ribosomal RNA", at positions 30 to 526 of the family's 1533-position model. The record is from RNAcentral.
AUUGAACGCUGGCGGCAGGCCUAACACAUGCAAGUCGGGCGCGGGGCGGACGGGUGAGAAAUGUAUGGGGAUCUGCCUGAUGGAGGGGGAUAACUACUGGAAACGGUAGCUAAUACCGCAUACCUUCCGCUGAAACCAUAUGGGAUUAGCUUGUAGGUGAGGUAACGGCUUACCUAGGCAACGAUCCCUAGCUGGUCUGAGAGGGGGAACAGCCACACUGGGACUGAGACACGGCCCAGACUCCUACGGGAGGCAGCAGUAGGGAAUAUUGCACAAUGGGCGAAAGCCUGAUGCAGCCACGCCGCGUGUAUGAAGAAGGCCUUCGGGUUGUAAAGUACUGUCAGUCGGGAGGCGUUACCGACACAGGAAGCACCGGCUAACUCCGUGCCAGCAGCCGCGGUAAUAC